UGCUUCCUUGAGACUUAGCGGCGGACGGGUGAGUAACACGUAGGCAACCUGCCCUUUAGCCUGGGAUAACUACCGGAAACGGUAGCUAAUACCGGAUACUUUCUUUUUCUGCAUGGGAGAAGAACGAAAGACGGAGCAAUCUGUCACUGAAGGAUGGGCCUGCGGCGCAUUAGCUAGUUGGUGGGGUAACGGCUCACCAAGGCGACGAUGCGUAGCCGACCUGAGAGGGUGAUCGGCCACACUGGGACUGAGACACGGCCCAGACUCCUACGGGAGGCAGCAGUAGGGAAUCUUCCGCAAUGGGCGAAAGCCUGACGGAGCAACGCCGCGUGAGUGAUGAAGGUUUUCGGAUCGUAAAGCUCUGUUGCCAGGGAAGAACGUCUUGGAGAGUAACUGCUCCGAGAGUGACGGUACCUGAGAAGAAAGCCCCGGCUAACUACGUGCCAGCAGCCGCGGUAAUACGUAGGGGGCAAGCGUUGUCCGGAAUUAUUGGGCGUAAAGCGCGCGCAGGCGGCCGUUUAAGUCCGGUGUUUAAUCCCGAAGCUCAACUUCGGGUCGCACUGGAAACUGGAGGGCUUGAGUGCAGAAGAGGAGAGUGGAAUUCCACGUGUAGCGGUGAAAUGCGUAGAGAUGUGGAGGAACACCAGUGGCGAAGGCGACUCUCUGGGCUGUAACUGACGCUGAGGCGCG
Molecule: ribosomal RNA, 690 nt
Filed under: Paenibacillus hunanensis
Lineage: Bacteria; Bacillati; Bacillota; Bacilli; Caryophanales; Paenibacillaceae
Description: bacterial SSU rRNA
Rfam family: Bacterial small subunit ribosomal RNA
Source: RNAcentral